UCCGAAUUGGUGUAACGGUCAACAUUUCGCGUUUUCAUGAUUCUUCUUCAAGAUCAUAAUACCGCGGAGCUCGGGGUUCGAUUCCCCGAUUCGGAG
Molecule: non-coding RNA, 96 nt
Organism: Truncatella angustata
Lineage: Eukaryota; Fungi; Ascomycota; Sordariomycetes; Amphisphaeriales; Sporocadaceae
Source: the annotation of a RefSeq genome assembly